Molecule: ribosomal RNA, 460 nt
Filed under: uncultured bacterium
Lineage: Bacteria
Description: partial 16S ribosomal RNA
Rfam family: Bacterial small subunit ribosomal RNA
Source: RNAcentral
CCUACGGGAGGCAGCAGUGAGGAAUAUUGGUCAAUGGACGAGAGUCUGAACCAGCCAAGUAGCGUGAAGGAUGACUGCCCUAUGGGUUGUAAACUUCUUUUAUAUGGGAAUAAAACGUUCCACGUGUGGGAUUUUGUAUGUACCAUAUGAAUAAGGAUCGGCUAACUCCGUGCCAGCAGCCGCGGUAAUACGGAGGAUCCGAGCGUUAUCCGGAUUUAUUGGGUUUAAAGGGAGCGUAGGUGGAUUGUUAAGUCAGUUGUGAAAGUUUGCGGCUCAACCGUAAAAUUGCAGUUGAAACUGGCAGUCUUGAGUACAGUAGAGGUGGGCGGAAUUCGUGGUGUAGCGGUGAAAUGCUUAGAUAUCACGAAGAACUCCGAUUGCGAAGGAAGUUCACUGGACUGCAACUGACACUGAGGCUCGAAAGUGUGGGUAUCAAACAGGAUUAGAUACCCCUGUAGUC